CACGUAGGGUGCGAGCGUUGUCCGGAAUUAUUGGGCGUAAAGAGCUCGUAGGCGGUGUGUCGCGUCGGCCGUGAAAACCUGCAGCUUAACUGUGGGCGUGCGGUCGAUACGGGCAUCACUGGAGUUCGGCAGGGGAGACUGGAAUUCCUGGUGUGGCGGUGAAAUGCGCAGAUAUCAGGAGGAACACCGGUGGCGAAGGCGGGUCUCUGGGCCGAUACUGACGCUGAGGAGCGAAAGCGUGGGGAGCAAACAGG
RNAcentral lists this ribosomal RNA (254 nucleotides) under uncultured bacterium. RNAcentral's name for it is "partial 16S ribosomal RNA". It matches the Rfam family "Bacterial small subunit ribosomal RNA", at positions 524 to 776 of the family's 1533-position model. The record is from RNAcentral.